UGACAUUUUCUUUGCAGGCCUAGCAUACU
Molecule: non-coding RNA, 29 nt
Filed under: Homo sapiens (human)
Lineage: Eukaryota; Metazoa; Chordata; Mammalia; Primates; Hominidae
Source: RNAcentral